AUAGAUUCAAUUUAACCAAUAAUUAUAAUCAAUUUAAUUUAAGAUGCUACUCUAUUUUUUAUGAUGACAAAGUAGACGAUUUUUUCAUAGCAACGCAGAGCCUAUUUUUAUAAAUUUUUUAUAAAAAUUACUAAUAAAUCAUAAGUUAGUCACAAAUCAUUUUUAUAUUAUUGUUAUUGUUAUAUCUUUAAUAAUUAUAAGUCAUUAAUAAAUCACAAUCUCAAACAUAUAUUUUGCACCAUUUAUCACAUUAAGUCACAUUAAAUCAUGAAUCAUAAUUUAAAAUUGAGCCGAAUGACGUUGUAGUUUAGACUACUACUUAACUUUUAACAAAAAAGGAAGUUUGAGAAUUCAAUUUCACAGUGUUUUAUAAAUUUUACUGUCAUCCGAGUCACGAAUAGUAUGGAUUCAUUUCGAUUCACAGUGUCUUUACCUUUUUUUUUAACAUCCCAUUCAUUUUUUUACAUUACAAAAAUUUUCUGUAAAAAAAUUGGGUGGGACAAGAAGUAUAAAUUUUACCGUUCUCGGAGUCAGCGAAUGAUUUGGCGAGUCAAAGGAACCGUGGUGAGCACAACAGUUUAUAAUUCUCAGUUAGAAAAUAGUAGAACGUAAUGUAUCCUAAAUUUUGUUUUAUUUAUUUAUUUAAAACGAUGUGAUAAUUAAAUAAAUGAUUUUAGUUAAAUGAUUUAUGUACAAAUGUGAGAUCACAUUAUUAUUAAUGUGAGCGAAAUCAAUUAAAAAUCAAUAAUUAAGAUUGGAUACCUAAAUUUUUCUAAAAAUAUAAAAAAGUAUGAUAUUGAAUAUCCAAAAAUAACAUAAAAACGUAAAAGUAGGAGGGGCAGUGAUGAUGAAAACACAAUUUAUACUUCGUCUGUUUUGUUUUAUAGGUAUUUUAGAAAAUGUUGUUUAUUAUUUUUUUUUUUUGUCAGGAUCUACAUACUCGUAGAUGAGUUGUAUCAUAGAUACAAUAGCCGCAUCAGGGAUUACUUUCAUACAAUAAAGUUUAUCAUCUAACCGAAAGAUACGCAAAGAUAUCUCCGGACGUUUAGAUAAUAAGACUUUAAAGUCUGAUAAGAAAACCCGUAAGGUCUCUCUCCAAGAUCCUGAAAAACAAACCAAGCAAAAACAAACAUAAGAAUGAUAAAUUAAAGAAAAAAGUAUUUUGGAGAAAAUAAACCCAAUUAUGACAUAUAAAUCCUGACAAAAAUAAAUAUAAUAAUAUAACAUCUUAUUCAAAAAUAAAAAUUUUAGAACUAAUAAAAAUACGAUACAAAUAUGAAAAGUGAUAAUGUCUAACCAAAGUAAGAACUUUGGUUAGACACGCAAUAUAAAGAAAUCGUAAUACAUAUUAAUAUUUUCUUGUGGGAACAAAAAAACAAAAACAAAAAUUAAAGAUUUUUGUUAGGAAAAGAGGGAAGUUACAAAUUAAAUCAUAUUUAUAUCCCGAUCAACGUAAAUUAAUUAUUUAAUAAUCCAAUUAGUCAAUAAAAGGGUUAUCAUAACAUCACAAAGUAUAAGAAUUAAGAAAUUCAAAUUAUUAAUCCAAGAACAAAAUUAACCGCAAAAUAUUCAUUUAGGACAAUAGGCCGAUAAUCAUGCCAACCAAUAUUGGUCCAAAAAUAUAUGCCACCAAUUAUGGCCACCAAAAUUGGUACAAACUCCUUGAACGUUAUCAAGACCUAAUAAAAGCCAUCGAUUAUGGCACCCAAUAAAUAUUCAUAAAUAUUAAUAAAUUAACAAAUUUAAUAUGCCAAUUAAGCGGAAUAAAUGCACAUAAACACUUACCAAACACACAAUUUUUCAAAAACAUGAAUGGAAUCAAUUAAUCCCUAAUUAGGGUAGAGAAAAUUCAAAUUCCAAAUCUGAGCAAAAAAAGAGUCAACUUGCCAUAUAUAAUACAAUAAAGAUCUACAAUUACUAAAAUCCACCUAUUCAAAAAUCAAAACUUAAAACUAAAUUAUGCACCAAAAUUAGUCAAUCAGAAUAAUCAACUCGCACUAAUUAGUCACCCCUACACCACCUCCAAAAAUCCGACCAUGAAUAGCAAGCCAGACCAAGACUAGGCAAAACGAAAAUAACAUGUCAUCAAAUUAAUAAAUCGAGCAAUUCAAAAUACAGACAAAAACUCAGCCUAGACACAGACUAGAUACCAGCUCGGCAUAAACACAAGCAAAAAUCAAGCAAGCAGCAGCAAUCAAAAACGUAAACCAGAAUCUGAACUCAAUAAUCGACUCCUAUCGAGUCAACUGAAGGAAAAACUAAACAUAAUGACUCAAUGAUGCAACUCGGUCACGGAAAAAUCGGUGACUCCAAAAUAAAUGAUACCAGAAUCAGACCACAAAACUAAACAGAGAAGCAUAAACUCAUCUUCUUUUCUUAGUGAUCAACUCAUUUAAACAAAAAAAGAAAAACGACUUACUUGUACCGUGGCCUCAAAACUCACGGACUUACCCGUAUUCACCUUCAAAGGGCAAAACAGUUGCACGACAUCAUUUUGAUGAUUUCAUCUCUGACUCAUCGGGUUUACUCACUGAGUUGGCUCCGAAUAAUUAGCUUUCCCCAGACUAGCCCAUGGAAAAUCCGACGAGCAACAAAAACGUACCAGAAGAUUUCAAUAUGACUGCUACUCAAUAGUCCCUGGUAUUGAAACUAUAAAAAAGACAGUCUCAAUAUACACAAUCUUAUGUUGAGCAAAACCAUGACUUUUUCCCCAAAAAAUAUGAAUAAGAAACUAAGAUAGGGUUUAUAUAUGUGUAUAAAAUUUUUUUGGGGCUUGUUGUUUAAUAGUUGGUAUAGGUUAAUUCAGGUUGAAAUUUGGGGAUUGUUGUGGUUUGGAAUUGAUGGGCGAUGCUGGUGGUGGUGGCUGGCCGGUGCUGCGACGGCAACGCCGACGGGCUUCGGCGGCGACUGGAACGGGGGAGAAGAGGGAGAUGGCAGAGGAGAGAGAGAUGGGAGUUAAAAAUGUUGUUUAUUUAUAAAUGUAGAUCGUUCUCUCUUUCCAAAAGUAGUUGGGUUGUCUAAUUACUUUUGUUACCCUUAUUUAAUAUCAUAAGUCAAGAGAAAAAAGGAGGAGAGACAUCAAACGAGGGCAAAGAUGAAGAAAAAAAGAGUUAAUAUAUGUUUUAAUGUAAUAAUGUGUGAAAAAACCUUAAACAGCCUAUAAAACAACACAGGGAGUAUAAUCUUUGGACUGAAAAUAACAACUUUCACCGUGCCAAGAACCCAACUAUUGGCCCCAUAAAUGACUAAUGAUUGAACCCUCG
RNAcentral lists this long non-coding RNA (3263 nucleotides) under Daucus carota (carrot). RNAcentral's name for it is "long non-coding RNA (DCAR_LNC002412)". The record is from RNAcentral. Lineage: Eukaryota; Viridiplantae; Streptophyta; Magnoliopsida; Apiales; Apiaceae.